RNAcentral lists this ribosomal RNA (253 nucleotides) under uncultured bacterium. RNAcentral's name for it is "partial 16S ribosomal RNA". It matches the Rfam family "Bacterial small subunit ribosomal RNA", at positions 524 to 776 of the family's 1533-position model. The record is from RNAcentral.
GACGGCGGAUGCAAGUGUUAUCCGGAAUCACUGGGCGUAAAGCGUCUGUAGGUGGUUUAAUAAGUCAACUGUUAAAUCUUGAGGCUCAACCUCAAAAUCGCAGUCGAAACUAUUAGGCUAGAGUAUAGUAGGGGUAAAGGGAAUUUCCAGUGGAGCGGUGAAAUGCGUAGAGAUUGGAAAGAACACCGAUGGCGAAGGCACUUUACUGGGCUAUUACUAACACUCAGAGACGAAAGCUAGGGUAGCAAAUGGG